This 718-nucleotide long non-coding RNA is filed under the name Rattus norvegicus (Norway rat). RNAcentral's name for it is "long non-coding RNA NONRATT014311". The record is from RNAcentral. Lineage: Eukaryota; Metazoa; Chordata; Mammalia; Rodentia; Muridae.
AAGGGACGAUGUCCCUUUUCUAGGACAGGGUUAAUUGUGGGACUGUUUGCUUUUCUGGUGUUAGCUUGCUUGAAAAUGGUUAGCAUGGAGGUUCGCUUUGGAAGCACACAUGAUUCUCUAUCAAACUUAGAAUAACCUAAUAUACCCUUGACCCACCCAACUGCCACCACUGCCGUCACUGCCGUCACUGCCACCGCUGCCACCCAAGGCCAGCUUUCUCCUGUUAACAGAAGAAAAAUGCACAUGUUCACGUCUCCAUGCUGAGUUCACUCCUGGAGGCCAUCGUUUCAUACUUCCCUACCAGGUCUGAACAGGCGUGGCAACUUGAGAGCAGCUCGGUACCUUGUCCCAACCGAACCAAUGCGAUGGUGCCAUCAGAGGGGAGCAGAGUCGGUGAGGGCAGAGCCACUGGGUCCCAGAAGCACCAUUCACUGUCCUCCUUGCCAAAGUUACACAAGCAAUUCUUUAGCAAUUGUAACAAAUACAUUUUACAUUUUGCAAAUCAUUCCCUAGAUACACAGGCGGGCAAGGAAGGAGGCAAGGCAUCCUUAAGAUACACGGGUUAUGCUUGAGGUGGGAAACAGGGAGGUAGUUCCCUCCAUUCUUGACUCCUCAGUUCCAAGAACAGUUCCAUUAGUGGCUGUCCUCUCAGUCCUCUGGAGUUAGCUUACCCUGGUUCCUCCCAUCCUAUACUUAAUAAACGAACAUGCUUGACUAA